Long non-coding RNA from Passer domesticus (house sparrow), 1085 nucleotides. RefSeq lists it as uncharacterized. The transcript has 4 exons. The record is from RefSeq and is a predicted model, not a curated record. NCBI's taxonomy places the organism in Eukaryota, Metazoa, Chordata, Aves, Passeriformes, Passeridae.
UAUUAAGCUUUAAUUAAACUGUAGCACUACAGAGAGGCAGAGGAGUUUCUGUGUUGUUUGUGAUGUUUCAAGUACCAUGUUGGACCUACAUUAUGGACAGCAAGUGGUUAACAAGUCUGCAAGGCUGGUCUGUUGGACAGAGAGCUAAAAUAAAGCACCACGCUGGAGGAAAAACCUAAUGAAGUCGCCCGAGUGAAUUGAUUGGAGAUUUGAAUAAAAGGGAUCUGCUGUAUGGUGGUGUGAGAUAUCCCAGUAAAUCUGCUAGAAGACACAUGGUAUCUGCACAAUUAUCCAUGUAAUUCCAUGCAGAGGGAAGGAUUAGUCUCUACAGAGCUGAGCUCAGGAAUGGAGAGCUGGAUCUGCAGGACAGAAGCAGAACAGGAGACCUUGGCAGAGUUUUCCAAGGGAAUUUCUAGCCAAAACUCUAGUAGAAGGAUGAGAGCAAACACACGGGGGAGCACUUAGACUGUAACAUCUGGAGUACUCCAUCCACCCAGCUCGUGUACCUGAAAUGACCAUUUCAGUGGAAAACCUGCCUUUUCAAAAACCCCAUUUGUUCUGAAGAGUUCACCGUUUCCCAGAAACCAAAAGUACCACGUGGAAUUUUCUAAAUGCCAGGACCACAGGGUGACCCACUCUGUCUCUCUGUGCAAGAAAAGAGGAGCACUUUUAGAAACUCUCAGUAUUCUCAACAACAAAGAAAUGCUGAAUUUUGAAGCCUGUUUCCACUAAAUGCCUUUUAAAAAAAAUUUUACUCUCAGCUCUAUAGUUGGAAAUGCCUUUCAACAAGACUUUGCAUUUAUAUUGUGUUGCCUGUUUGCCUAAUCUUCGAUGUCCAGCUCAGCAAACUCCUCUGUUUGGAAAGGUAUCUCCUAAAAUGCAGAUUUGAAACUUAAAAGAGGGUAUUUAGUGUGUCCACCAUAUGAGCAAAGCACUUGGCCCCCACAAUAAAUUGCCUGCAUUUGCAGAGUUUUUGUCAUGUUUGCACAGUAAACAUUUGUGAAAUCGAUUUAAUGGUUUAAUUUUUCCAGUGCAUGUGAAGAUAGGUACUUCAGGAACAUUGCUUAAUACACAGCCAAAGCAUA